UUACCUGCAGUCGAGCGCCCCGCAAGGGGAGCGGCAGACGGGUGAGUAACGCGUGGGAAUCUACCUUUUGCUACGGAAUAACGCAGGGAAACUUGUGCUAAUACCGUAUGUGUCCUUUUGGAGAAAGAUUUAUCGGCAAGAGAUGAGCCCGCGUUGGAUUAGCUAGUUGGUGGGGUAAAGGCCUACCAAGGCGACGAUCCAUAGCUGGUCUGAGAGGAUGAUCAGCCACAUUGGGACUGAGACACGGCCCAAACUCCUACGGGAGGCAGCAGUGGGGAAUAUUGGACAAUGGGCGCAAGCCUGAUCCAGCCAUGCCGCGUGAGUGAUGAAGGCCCUAGGGUUGUAAAGCUCUUUCACCGGAGAAGAUAAUGACGGUAUCCGGAGAAGAAGCCCCGGCUAACUUCGUGCCAGCAGCCGCGGUAAUACCAAGGGGGCUAGCGUUGUUCGGAAUCACUGGGCGUAAAGCGCACGUAGGCGGAUCGAUCGCUCAGGGGUGAAAUCCCUAAACUCAACCCUGGA
RNAcentral lists this ribosomal RNA (519 nucleotides) under uncultured bacterium. Its description in RNAcentral is "bacterial SSU rRNA". It matches the Rfam family "Bacterial small subunit ribosomal RNA", at positions 51 to 619 of the family's 1533-position model. The record is from RNAcentral.